UCCAAAGCCAGGACUCGUUCCAGCCCUGGCCUCUGGAAGUGGCUUUGCCCAGGGUGAACCGCACAACCCGUACCUUUAGUGCUUUUCUUGGCGAUGUUGGGAGGGAGCGAAAGAAAGAAAAAUAAAUAAAUAAAGGAAGAAAACACAUAUACACAAAAACAAAAGCAGCAGGCAACCGACCCCGGGCCCACUCAUCCACGCACGCCUGCGAGGCGAGGCGCUCGGAAAAUAAGGGUGUGCUCCGAGUCGCGUCUGGCAGUGCAAGUCAUCACCGGGAUGCAGAGAGCGGCGGGUGCCGAGUCUGCGCACAAGGAGGCUGCUGGCCUGGGCUGGGGUCUCUGGCGACCCGAGCAGCCCACGCCCCCAGAAACUCCCACCUACUGCCGCGAGGCCGGGCUGGGGCGGCAGCUCGGUGCGUUGCCUUCACCCCGCGCCCUCUCAAAGCAAGCGCAGGGCUCAGCCCUCUAGAAAUGGGUUGGUGCCUUUUCAUCCGGGUAACCCAGCCCAGUACAGCUGUGGACCUUCGUCUGCAGUAAAACUAGGCCCCACUCAGACCCUGGAACCCCUCCGAGGACCCCCCCUCCCCAGACCCACCCUAUCUCUCCCACCAUCUUUUCUACUGUUUUCAUCAUAGAAUGCUUCCAAUCUUUUGUGAAUUUUUUUUAUUAUAAGAAAAAUCUAUUUGUAUCUAUCCUAACCAGUUUGGGGAUAUAUUAAGAUAUUUUUGUACAUAAGAGAGAAAGAGAGAGAAAAAAAUUUAUAGAAGUUUUGUACAAAUGGUUUAAAAUGUGUAUAUCUUGAUACUUUAACAUGUAAUGCUAUUACCUCUGCAUAUUCUAGCUGUGUAGUUCACCUUACAACUGCUGUUUCCCCUAUGUGGUUUUUGUAAAGAACUCUCCCCAUAGGUGAGAUCAGAAUACUGCCAGAUGUACUUCAGCACCAAUGUGUCUUACUUUAUAGAAACGUUGCUAAUGUAUUAAUGAUGUUAUUAAAUCCUGUUCAUGAAGAACAAAGUUUAUUCAGCUACUGUCCAAACGAAAAAGUGGCAGCCAGAUGGUUUUGAUAGGGUUGCCUUUUGGAAAUUUCUACCACUGCCUUUUUUUUUUCUUACUGUUUUAUUACAAACUUACAAAAACGUG
This is a long non-coding RNA of Heterocephalus glaber (naked mole-rat), 1139 nucleotides long. NCBI's taxonomy places the organism in Eukaryota, Metazoa, Chordata, Mammalia, Rodentia, Bathyergidae. The record is from Ensembl.